UCUCAGUUCAGAUUGCAGGCUGCAACCCGCCUGCAUGAAGUCGGAAUUGCUAGUAAUCGCGGAUCAGCAUGCCGCGGUGAAUACGUUCCCGGGCCUUGUACACACCGCCCGUCACACCAUGGGAGCCGGUAAUACCCGAAGUCAGUAGUCCAACCUCGUGAGGACGCUGCCGAAGGUAGGAUUGGCGACUGGGGUGAAGUCGUAACAAGGUAGC
Molecule: ribosomal RNA, 214 nt
Filed under: uncultured bacterium
Lineage: Bacteria
Description: partial 16S ribosomal RNA
Rfam family: Bacterial small subunit ribosomal RNA
Source: RNAcentral